RNAcentral lists this non-coding RNA (80 nucleotides) under Acidovorax sp. RNAcentral describes it as "SAH sequence". It matches the Rfam family "SAH (S-adenosyl-L-homocysteine) riboswitch aptamer". Lineage: Bacteria; Pseudomonadati; Pseudomonadota; Betaproteobacteria; Burkholderiales; Comamonadaceae. The record is from RNAcentral.
CAUCCGAGGAGCGUUGCAGCGCCCCCAGCUACUGGCGGGGCGUGAGGCUCGGAGUCAUCCAGCAACGACGCUCAUCCACU